UACGGGGGGGGGAAGCGUUGUUCGGAUUUACUGGGCGUAAAGGGCGCGUAGGCGGCGCGGUAAGUCACUUGUGAAAUCUCUGAGCUUAACUCAGAACGGCCAAGUGAUACUGCAGUGCUAGAGUGUGGAAGGGGCAAUCGGAAUUCUUGGUGUAGCGGUGAAAUGCGUAGAUAUCAAGAGGAACACCUGAGGUGAAGACGGGUUGCUGGGCCAACACUGACGCUGAGGCGCGAAAGCCAGGGGAGCAAACGGG
This 253-nucleotide ribosomal RNA is filed under the name uncultured bacterium. RNAcentral's name for it is "partial 16S ribosomal RNA". It matches the Rfam family "Bacterial small subunit ribosomal RNA", at positions 524 to 776 of the family's 1533-position model. The record is from RNAcentral.